This 1323-nucleotide long non-coding RNA is filed under the name Malus domestica (apple). Its description in RNAcentral is "long non-coding RNA (MDOM_LNC012351)". Lineage: Eukaryota; Viridiplantae; Streptophyta; Magnoliopsida; Rosales; Rosaceae. The record is from RNAcentral.
UAUCGAAUAAUAUAAAAAGAAAGAUCCAAUCAGCAAGGGAGACGAACCAAAAAACAUUAAAUGCAAAACAAAGUCCAUGCCAUUGUGUCUUUUCAUGCUCGAUCGAUCCCACAUGCCGACUGAUCACAAUAAACACAUCCAAUAAUGCUAAGUGAAUUCAGAGGCAGCACUUGCAAGUGAUGAAAGGUGCAGAAACUCAUGCCUCUCUUUUCUUCACUUGUGGACAGGGACUCAUGUCAUGUCACAUAUCAAUCUAAAAUAUGCAUUCGACUACUUCUACUACGUGUGUUCAUAAUGAUUGUCACACGAAAUAGAAAUACUAUCUUCUUUUUUUAUUUAAAGGUUAAAUUAUGAUUGCGGUCUUUAUUGAAAUGUUUGAGCGAAGUUUCACUUUAAUCUUGUUUUAAUUUUUGUAAUUUUAUUAGUGUAAAUUGAAAUUGCAUUGGUUAAAGUAUAAUUUCAUUUGAAUGGCAAGUAACUUGCUUCAUAGAGUUCAACUUGCGUAUUUUCUUCCUAAAGAACAAAAUGAAUUGUCACGCAAUGUAAUAGUAUUCCUCUCAGGUUCGACUCUCGUAAAUGGUGAGUUUGACACUUAAUUAUGAUUGACUCAUUGUGCAUGAGUUCAAAUUGGAUAAUACUUGCAUCAUCCCAUAGGGAAUACACAUAUCUCUUCCCAACGUAUCGUCAUCAUAUAAAUUUUAUAAUCAGAACAUCUUCAUUAAAGGUCAUCUCUAUAGAAAACCAAUCAAAUCGAAGAUAGUUUGGUCAUCCAAAUGUAUCAAUUAAAUGGACAAUUUAUCAUAAAUGAUAACACACCAAAGACUUGUUCCAAACAUUGAGUUCCAAUUCGAAUACUGUUCUAUAAAGAUGAUCUUCAAAUGAAGCCAGGAUUUGAUCGAUUUUAAUUAUAAAAUUUAAACGAUAAGUUAUUCGCAAUAAGUGAGUGCAAUUUUUUAUUUUAAGAGACGGAAUUAGUUGCGUUUCAUAUAUAGUCUUGUAGUUGGACCAUUGGGCUUUAGUGAAUGAUCCCAAUUUCCAUAUCCCUCUUUGUUUGUAGCCCACAUGGAAGCCACAAGAAAACUUGGAAUAUAUUAAGAGGACAGCAAAAUAAUUGACACUAUAUCACUGGCAGAUCAACAUUGUUUUAGUGUUUAGAUACAAAUUAAGUAGCAUUAUUUAGGAUAAUCCUCCAACUAAAUCCCUUUUCAAAUGUCAAAAUCUUGACAAGGACAGACAGAACCACUUUCUUGGUUGUAAAGAUUCCUUUAUUUGUUUAUUUAUCUAAAUUAUUGUAUUGUUAUGGCCUACAUACAUAUAUCAUAU